UACGAAGGGGACUAGCGUUGUUCGGAAUCACUGGGCGUAAAGCGCACGUAGGCGGAUAUGUCAGUCAGGGGUGAAAUCCCGGGGCUCAACCUCGGAACUGCCUUUGAUACAGCAUAUCUUGAGUCCGAUAGAGGUGGGUGGAAUUCCUAGUGUAGAGGUGAAAUUCGUAGAUAUUAGGAAGAACACCGGUGGCGAAGGCGGCCCACUGGAUCGGUACCGACGCUGAGGUGCGAAAGCGUGGGGAGCAAACAGG
Molecule: ribosomal RNA, 253 nt
Filed under: uncultured bacterium
Lineage: Bacteria
Description: partial 16S ribosomal RNA
Rfam family: Bacterial small subunit ribosomal RNA
Source: RNAcentral